Molecule: long non-coding RNA, 1370 nt
Filed under: Chrysemys picta bellii (western painted turtle)
Lineage: Eukaryota; Metazoa; Chordata; Testudines; Emydidae
Description: lncRNA (ENSCPBG00000006593.1)
Source: RNAcentral
ACAGAAUUUCUGAUCUUCCAACCGCUGCAUAAAGAAAUUCUUCAGCUAAUGGUAGAGGUGGAAGGACAGGAAAGGGAAGAAUGUGAUCCAAUGAUAUCACAGACAUAUCCUCAAACAAUCUUGCUCUCUAUACUUAUAUGUUUAUAUUAAGAAAAAGGAAGACCUGCAAGAAGAACAGGGUUUUCUGGCAUGGCUUUGACUACACAGAAUGAGACGAACUGCCACCUGGUUGCCCAGUCUUCAAGUUGCUGAGAUUUCCCCCAAGACAAAAAUCUUCACAAAGUGUCUAAGGGCCUGUUCCAGCACCCAGGGAAACCAAGUGAAAGAUUGCCAUUGCCAUGGGUCUUGGUUAGGAACCCCCUUGCUUUAGUAAGCACGCAGAGGUGCAAUGUAAUCUGUCACCAGUUCUGUACCAAGGCUUUUUAUUCCCAACUUUGUAUCUGAGACAGUCACUUUAUUUAGAGCAAAUGAAAGGUGUGUGAGACAUGGACAACUGGAGGUUACCUCAAAGAAAAUUCUGGAUGCUGCUGCCUAGCAGGGAAGUGUGACACUAAGCCCCCGUCUUCAUACCCUACUGACUGUUAUAAUCUGUAUCUAAACAGUGUCAUGUAAUACAUCAUUGGAAAGCUUAUAACUCUCUGAUUAUUAAUAUCAUUAUGCAAUGUGCAUGCAAGGAAUUGAGGCAAAGUUAUGGAUGUAAACUGAAAUUAUAAUUCUUAAAAUGUGUUUCCAGUCAAAUAGGAGUUACCCCACCCUAAACGAAGGAAUGUGGUUUCUCCACAGGCCAGUUACUUCCAAAGUAUUUUGAAAGACAAUGAGAAUUCAUUUUAUAUAUGAGAUAUACAAAGCUAUCAAGCUAACAAGUUGGGGGAAGAGACAGUGUGACUACACCCCAGCAGGGAAGAGAAAUUUCAUCUGAGAUAUAUAGAAGGGGAAGAGGAGGAGGGCCAAACCUCAAACAAUUGAAUCAGCAAGGACAGAAAGCCAUUUUAAGCAUCCAUCACUAGACAGAUACAAGGGAACAAAGCUCUUGGGAGCUGAGAAAGAUAGGUUCUUCAACCAAGGGGAAAGGUGUUGAAGUCUCUAGAACCAGGUGAGAAACCUGCUCAGGCAAAGAUCGUUCACUUAAGAUGACAAGGAGAGCUAGUACCUUGUACUGUUGUGGAAGGUCCUGGCUGAGGCAACGUCAGCCAUGGCUGGGAAGAAGAAUGGCUGGUGACAGAAACCAUCUUGAAGGACACCUGUAUCUUGCUAGAUAAAGUUUUAGACUUUGAGAUGCAUGUUUUCAUUUUCAUUUGCUUGUAACCCUUUCUAACUUUAUUCCUUGUACUUAAUACAUUUGUUCAAGUGAUGCUAACAAUAGGACUUAG